GAGGGUACAGCUCAGUGGUAGAGCGCAUGCUUAGCAUGCACAAGGUCCUGGAUUCAAUCCCCAGUACUUCCU
RNAcentral lists this transfer RNA (72 nucleotides) under Camelus bactrianus (Bactrian camel). It matches the Rfam family "tRNA". Rfam says of the family: Transfer RNA (tRNA) molecules are approximately 80 nucleotides in length. Their secondary structure includes four short double-helical elements and three loops (D, anti-codon, and T loops). The record is from Rfam by way of RNAcentral. Lineage: Eukaryota; Metazoa; Chordata; Mammalia; Artiodactyla; Camelidae. RNAcentral also lists the same sequence under 3 other names.